GAGAGAAUGUGUCCUUGUGUGUGUGUGUGUGUGUGUGUGAGUGAGAGAGAGAAUGUGUGUGUGUGUGAGAGAGAGAGAGAGAGAGAGAGAGAGAGAAUAUGUGUGUGUGUGUGUGCGUGAGAGAGAGAGAGAAUAUGUGUGUGUGUGUGUGCGUGUGUGUGUGCGUGAGAGAGAGAGAGAGAGAGAGAGAGAGAGUAGCAAAAGUAAAAAAAGAAUAAAAGGAGGGCUGGAGACAGAACCGUAUAGACCAGGAAGCACUUGCUGUUGUUUUACUUAUUGUAGAGGUUUAGAACAUAGACUUUGUAUUUCAUUACUAACAUAUGAUAAAUGAUAAAUAUAUGAGGAAUUCCAUUACUAACAAUUUAAUGUCUCAAAACAAGCUGAAAAUAGUUCACUUUUUAACUAUUCUCUUAACAAAGCUGGACAUUUUACAACAUUACAAAAGUCACAAGACUUGGGGCAUAAUAUUGAAGACACUGGACAAAGGCAGGGCAUGGCUGUGGGGCAUCUGAAGUGGAUAUGGUGAAACUCUGAUAGCCCGGAUCGCUGCUGUCAAUCUGCCAAUCUGCUGCCUCAGACUUGAUGUCAUCUAUAGGCACAUUAUAUAAAUUCUAACAGUUAAGAAUUCUUUUGAUACAAAUAAUGACUUAAACUCAUCUAGCAGCAGCUUAAAUAAUAUUUGUACUGGAUUUUUCAUAAAAGCCUUACAAAUCUGGCCUCUGUUGGUGUUGUAGUAGGUGGGUGCGUGUACACUAGGGGGAGCAGCUUGUUCAUUUGUCAACGUUUCUGCAACCAUCAUGGCCAUAGGUGCAAUCGAACCAAGCUCAUUCAGAUUAUUCCUUGAACACACAAAACACUUCAGCUUUAAAAAAUUUUUAACAGUAUAAUUUAACUAUAAAUACAAUUUUUUUUUAAAAAAAAGCAAGCGGUUUGUUACCUGUAGGAGCUACUUGGAUCAAAGAUAUCUUCUCCAUAUUUCCCAUUUGUGGAGUUCCCCAGUGCUUGCUAAAGAAACAUCCAAUGCUUUAUGAUUUUUGAAAUCUAGUGUUUUAGUGGAAUCACAAUAUACACAAUACUGUCACCUGCUAAUGUGUCUAUAAAAUUUAUAACAUAUCAAUACACAGAAAUGUUUAUUCCUGAGAACAGGUUGCUAAAGUGAAUUCCUAAGUAAAAUGUUGGUUUCAGUUGGAAAGUAUACACACUGUGACACUAAAAUGCUAGUGCAAAACUAUAGAAGACCAGAUCUGCCAAAAUAAAAUAAAAAAAGUAAAAUAAUAUAUAAAUAUAUAAACAAAUAAAUUAAUGCAUAAUAGAUAGAUAGAUAGAUAGAUAGAUAGAUAGAUAUACCGAUCAGCCAUAGCAUUAAAACCACCUGCCUAAUAUUGUGUAGGUCCCCCUUGUGUCACCAAAACAGCUCUGACUCAUCAAGGCAUGGACUCCACAAGACCUCUGAAGGUGUGCUGUGGUAUCUGGCAUCAAAUGUUAUCAGCAGAUCUUUUAAGCCCUGUAAGUUGCGAGGUGGAGCCUCCAUGGAUUGGACUUGUUUGUCCAACACAGUCCUCAGAUACUCUAUCGGAUUGAGAUCUGGGGAAUUUGCAGGCCAAGUCAACACCUUCAACUCUUAGUCAUGCUCCUCAAACCAUUCCUGAACAAUUUUUGCAGUGUGGCAGGGCGUAUUAUCCUGUUGACAGAGGCCACUGCCAUUAGGAAAUACCACUGUCAUGAAGGGGUGUACUUGAUCUGCAACAAUGUUUAGGUAGGCAGUACGUGUCAAAGUAACAUGCACAUAAAUGCCAGGACCCAAAGUUUCCAGAGAAAUCAUUGCCCAGAGCCUCUUGCUGCUGUCCACUUGAUGAGCUUUCGCUCCUCAUGCUUCGCUGACCUGUAGUUGGUUGUCCUUCCUUCAAUUACAUUUGUUAGGUUCUAAGCUCUGUAUACGGGAAACACCCCACAAGGUCUGCCAUUUUGGAGAUGCUCUGACCCAGUCGUCUAGCCAUCACAAUUUGGUCCUUGUCAAAGUCUCUCAGAUCCUUACGCUUGCCCGUUUUCCUACUUACAACACAUCAACUUCUAGAACUGAUUGUUCACUUGCUGCAUAGUAUAUCCCACCCCUUGACAGAUGCUCUUGUAACAAGAUAAUCGAUGUUAUUCACAUCACCUCUCAGUGGUUUUAAUGUGAUUGCUGAUCAGUGUAUAUAUAUAUAGUAGUUUUCUAUAGUGGACUAAUUAUGCUAAAAUUUAUAUAUAUAUAAAUUUUGGCAUAAUUAGUCCACUAUAGGAAACUGCUAUAAUCACAGCUACAUUAUAUGCCCAAACAUUUGUGGACACCUGGCCAUAAUGUUUAUAUGUGCCUUUUGAAUAUCUCAUUCCAGAUGUAUUCCCUCCUUUUCUGUUAAAAUAACCUCCACUCUUCUGUGAAGGAUUCCCACUAGAUUUUGGAGCAUGGCUGUGUAGAUUUGUGCUCAUUCAACUACAAGAGCAAUAGUGAGGUCAGGCACUGAUGUCAGUUGAGGAGGCCUGGGGUGCAGUUGGUGUUCCAGUUCAUCCCAAAGGUGUUCAGUGGUGUUGAGGUAAGGGCUCAGAAUGCCAUUUGAGUUCUUCCCCUCCAACCUUGGCAAACCAUGUCCAUCUUUAUGGAUCUCACAUAGUAGACGAUUGUGUGCUUCCAACUUUGUGGUAACCGUUUGGGAAAGAACCACACAUGGGCGUAAUGGUCAGGUGUCCACAUAAUUUUGGUCAUAGAGUGUAAAGUUUGUGCAACCCCUCUAUGAAGACUCCAUUAAGAAUUUAUAUUGUGCCAUAUUACAACCACAAUUCCAAAGACAUUGGGAUGCUGUAUAAAAUGUAAAUUCGAAAAAAUAGAAUGCAAUAAUUUGCAUAUCUUAAUCUAAUUAGUUGUUUAAUGUUCUUCCAGCUGUUUCUUUUUAGUAAUACUUACUUUUCCAGCCUUUUUGUUGCCCCUGUCCCAACUUUUCUGAGACGUGUUGCAGCCAUCAAAUUCAAAAUUACCUUAUUUUUUUUCUUAUUACCUUAUUUAUAAUUUCCUAUAAUUACCUACCAAAAACAUUUGAUAUGUUUUCUGUGUUCUAUUGUGAAUAACAUAUGGGUUUAUGAGAUUUGCAAUUCAUUCUGUUUUUAUUUACAUUUUACGCAGUGUCCCAACUUUUUUUAAAACUGGAGUUGUACACAAGUCAAUGUUGAUGUUAGUACUGGCAAAAUAAGAUAAUUUGAUUGGGUUUUUCAUUUAAUUUCAUUGCUUCUGACUGAUUCUAAAAUUCUGCUGACAUAAAACUAUGGUAUCUAAUAUACUCCAAUGACUUAAAUAUGCUUACUGCUUGGUUUAAAAUACCUGAUGAAGUGCAGAAUCUUGAGUCAUAGUAGACUGACUUUCCAUAUUAACUUGUAGAGGAGAACUUUUUAUAUCCAUGAAGGUAUUUUGACUCUAAAAUCAAGUUAAACAAAGAAAAAAAUACAUUAUUGCAUGACCGGUUUGUGUAUAUGUAAAUGUAAAUAUAAUGUAAACUGUGUGUGUGUGUGUGUGUGUGUGUGUGUGUGUGUGUGUGUGUGUGUGUGUGAGAGAGAGAGAGAGAGAGAGAGAGAGAGAGAGAGAGAAUCAUCUGCACAUCUUCUAAGACCCUGAAACAAAGCCUGUUUGAACUGCCUCAAACCGCUUCUUAUCAGUACACAGAAUUAUGUCAUGCUCUGCCUUUCAUAUAUAUAGUAGUGGUUCAGCACAAGUGCUUCAGAGCGCUCUCAUUAUUCUAUCCUGCUUUAUUCUAUCCUUUAUUAACCAUCUUUCUGUAAUAAACCUUUUUACCUUCA
Long non-coding RNA from Ictalurus punctatus (channel catfish), 3822 nucleotides. RefSeq lists it as uncharacterized. The record is from RefSeq and is a predicted model, not a curated record. NCBI's taxonomy places the organism in Eukaryota, Metazoa, Chordata, Actinopteri, Siluriformes, Ictaluridae. The transcript has 2 exons.